AAGUUAUCACGAAAGGCAGAGGGACUAGACCCAAUGAAGCCUUAGCAACCCUACUCUUGUAGAAGGUGCUACAUUCUACUCCAUUUUGGAGAAAGAUAACAA
This 102-nucleotide non-coding RNA is filed under the name Flavobacterium terrae. RNAcentral's name for it is "SAM-I sequence". It matches the Rfam family "SAM riboswitch aptamer (S box leader)". Rfam says of the family: The SAM riboswitch is found upstream of a number of genes which code for proteins involved in methionine or cysteine biosynthesis in Gram-positive bacteria. The SAM riboswitch acts at the level of transcription termination control. Lineage: Bacteria; Pseudomonadati; Bacteroidota; Flavobacteriia; Flavobacteriales; Flavobacteriaceae. The record is from Rfam by way of RNAcentral.